AAUAAAUAAGUAAGUAAGAACCUUAUUAAUUUUAUAAAGAUUAAGAGUGCCAACCCUAACACUCAGUUGAAGUGUAGGUAUUUAACUCGCCGAAAGGGCUAAGUUUCCGUACUGCUUUAGCUCAUAUAUAUACUGUGCUUACAAUGAGUAUGUAUGCUUACUUGGGUCAUGUUUAUGGGAAUUGCCCAAAGAUAAAAGAAGAAUUGUCAAAAACUAGGGUGUCAUAGCCAUAGCUCGCAUCGAUACCAAAACAUUAUUACAAAAAUUGAGAUCAUAAAAUGUAGGAAACCAACUCAUAAAAUUAAUCACAAACCAGCAUGGACAUAAUAGCAAAACUAAUAUGAAGGCCUGAAAUCGCUCUCUAACCAUCUUUGAUCAAAACAUAACUAUGAAGAGAGGUCAAGGCAGUACAAAAAAGGGUCAGUCAGGUCGGAUUCCUACUUCCAAGCCGUUUUGCGAUUGUCGACACUGCGAAUGUAGAAACUGUCCCGACGUUCUACAAAAACUAGCGAUUACGAUAAAAGAUAGCAAGAGCGGCGGGAUCCGCGGCAAAGGGGCGAAACGAAAGAAAUGCAGUAAGAGCCUAAAGAGAGUGUCACAGACAUCAGAACAGCGGCCUAGCAUUCUAGACAUGUUGAACCCCAACCGAAAUUGCGACUGCGAAAUAAUGGCGCGCGCUAUUCGAUCUCACAUUCAUAUGAACAUGGGUAUGACCGACCAAAGAGGCGGGAAUUCGGAGCAAAGACCCUCCAACUCCAAAGACAUAGAAUAAAACAUAUGAUACAACGUUAAUUUCUAAGUAAGCAUUAAAAUACUUUUCGAUUUAA
Molecule: long non-coding RNA, 827 nt
Organism: Ostrinia nubilalis (European corn borer)
Lineage: Eukaryota; Metazoa; Arthropoda; Insecta; Lepidoptera; Crambidae
Exons: 2
Source: RefSeq, a predicted model, not a curated record